CUGUUCUUCUUUCAGUGGCUACUGCAGGUUUGGCAUCCAGGAUGAUUUUCACCUAUGGCAGAUGCUGACCCUAAGUCCCAGAUAACUGGGUUGUUGUCAACAUGUUCCAGGAAAAGGAAAGCAGGAUUGGAUCCAGGAAGAGUUUUAGGGUUCAUGCCAGUGGUCAAACAACUGAUCUGGGGGAAGAGUCCACAGCCAUUGUGAUGGCUGUUAAUCUACCUAUUCAACAGA
RNAcentral lists this long non-coding RNA (231 nucleotides) under Cavia porcellus (domestic guinea pig). RNAcentral describes it as "lncRNA (ENSCPOG00000030577.1)". The record is from RNAcentral. Lineage: Eukaryota; Metazoa; Chordata; Mammalia; Rodentia; Caviidae.